Paramormyrops kingsleyae is the source of this 691-nucleotide non-coding RNA. The record is from RefSeq and is a predicted model, not a curated record. NCBI's taxonomy places the organism in Eukaryota, Metazoa, Chordata, Actinopteri, Osteoglossiformes, Mormyridae.
GGCGCCAUCAGCGUGCAUGUCUUUACGGCGCCAGCAUGUAUACAGUACACGCACGCUUUGUAUGGAUUUAACAUUGUUAUAAAGCUUAAUUAUUAUGAAUAUUUUUAUUGAUGCCCUGAGUAUUUGGUAAAUUCUCUGAAAACCAAAGCUACUGACCAUGUUUUUCCAGCAAAAAAUGUUAAACGACCUAAACGUGGUGAGGCCAAUCAUAUCCCAUCCCUUCCUGCUGGAGAGACAUCAGCAAACCUUGAAAUUGAGCGCCUGGCACUUUUAAAGGAAGUGAAGAAAAGAAACAAUGCAUUGACAAUCAGAGAAAAAAUGACAAAGACGUUUGCCAUACGCAGACAAGAGAUUGUGGAAAACCAACCUAGUGUUCAAGAACUGCAAGAAAGAUGGCCAGCUCUGUUUCAACAAGAGGAGAUUAAUGCGGAAUUUUUGCGCAUCACGACCUUACCUUUACUACCGAGAUUUAUGGCUUCUUUGGACAGACAGAGCUCUCAAAAGCUCUCAGCUUUUCCAGGUUAUUAGGAGCAAAGGUGGAGUCCUCCGUGAAAAAACUAAGGACACUAUUCAAGUUAUGGAUCAGAAUCUGGACAUAGACAUCAGAAGAGAGUGCCUGCUGAAGUGCCUGAUCAUGUAUAUUGGUGAAGAUGCAAGCUGUCUGAUCAAAGAAUACCAGGUAAUGUAGGCA